Molecule: ribosomal RNA, 484 nt
Filed under: uncultured bacterium
Lineage: Bacteria
Description: bacterial SSU rRNA
Rfam family: Bacterial small subunit ribosomal RNA
Source: RNAcentral
AUUGAACGCUGGCGGAAUGCUUUACACAUGCAAGUCGAGCGGCAGCGCGGGGGCAACCCUGGCGGCGAGCGGCGAACGGGUGAGUAACAUAUCGGAACGUACCCUGUCGUGGGGGAUAACUAUCCGAAAGGAUAGCUAAUACCGCAUACGACCUGAGGGUGAAAGCGGGGGACCGCAAGGCCUCGCGCGAUAGGAGCGGCCGAUAUCGGAUUAGCUAGUUGGUGAGGUAAAGGCUCACCAAGGCGACGAUCCGUAGCGGGUCUGAGAGGACGACCCGCCACACUGGAACUGAGACACGGUCCAGACUCCUACGGGAGGCAGCAGUGGGGAAUUUUGGACAAUGGGGGCAACCCUGAUCCAGCCAUUCCGCGUGAGUGAAGAAGGCCUUCGGGUUGUAAAGCUCUUUCAGCAGGAACGAAACGGUGAGGGUUAAUACCCUUUACUAAUGACGGUACCUGAAGAAGAAGCACCGGCUAACUACGUG